GUAACCACCUAAACUGUACAAGGCCCUCAUUUCAAGUUGUGCUUUUGCUGCUGGUUCCAUCAGUUUUUAGAUAGUGUUACUAUUUUUAAUUUGUUUAAGGUGCAUGGCAGAUGAGCAGGGGGCUGUAAAAGCUAAUUUCUGAGUCAGCAGGGCUAACUUGUCCUAACUCGGUCUUGAUGUUUUUCUUUCUGCCUGACAGUUAAAGGAGCGCUAACUACAAUUAUGGAUUAGCUGGAUGAUCUCACAGUAUCUGUCUUGAAUGCUGCCAACAUAGACGAGGCCUUGCUCCACAUCCUCAGUCGUGACGACUUGGGAGACCUUCUUCCAGGACCAGAAAACAUUAUUAGGAGGAAACAAGUAUGGGCUCUUAUUAGCCUCGAGGUAAUUGGUCAUCUUUUUUGCUCUGAAAACAACUUGCAAAAGACAUGUUGUUUCCAAUCAUGCAUGUUGUUAAACUCUUGUAAAUUAUUUGUUCAUUAAUUUCUUUGUUUAGAAUGAGAAUCCUACCCUACCAGCUAAAAGGUGGCGAAACGGGAACUGUGUAUUCCCCUAGAGGGGCGUCACCAAUUAGUCCCCACACAUCAACUACUUUGGUGAAGAAAAGCCCAAAGAAGACCCUACAACUUCCCAGUCCACCAGAAUAUGUGGUCUACACAGAAAGCUCACUGGUUGUCUACACAUGCCAUGCUCUGCCUGCAUGGUUUCAUUUCUGAAAUUAGUCACCCCCCUGUCCGCAUUGUGUCUGAAUUUGCUGGAGGCAAAUUUGUCUUCAAAGUACCUGCAAAGAAACCAGCAUCUUCAAAUAGUGUGCGAGGUGAGAUAUUUUUUGUGGAUCUCCACUCACUUAUC
Molecule: long non-coding RNA, 849 nt
Filed under: Sparus aurata (gilthead seabream)
Lineage: Eukaryota; Metazoa; Chordata; Actinopteri; Spariformes; Sparidae
Description: lncRNA (ENSSAUG00010004020.1)
Source: RNAcentral